CGCAGGAAAAGAGGAAACCACAUGAGUGAUGAUGAUGAUGAUGAUGAUGAUGAGUGCCUUUUGAGAGAAAAAUCAGAGAGAAGGAAAAGCGAUGUGUUGACAUCGUGCAGAAAUUGAAUUAGAAGCUGCAGUUUCUGCGCCGCAGAGGAGCCGGAAUGCUACCUGCAGGCCGGAGACGGAGGCUCUCCAGCCCCGCGUGCACACGCCUCGGAGGACACUCACGGUCCAUCAGGUGUCCUGGUAGGAAGUCUGGACUGAGGACACGUUUCAGGUUCGAUUUCAUAUGUCAGGUAUUAGUGGCCUAUUAUUCUCCCGCGUUUGAGAAAUUAUUAGUAAUUCUAAUCCCUGACAACUGGAAGUUUCCACAAGUUUCAAAUUUUGUUGCAAUUAAAAAUGACAGAAACAUUAUGUGACGAUAUGAUUAUUUAAUGCUUCAAGAAUUAAAACGGAAUUAAUGAAACACAUGCAACUGAGUCAUAAAAUACUAGCGCAGUCAGAGAGGAAUGAGUGCAGUGAGACCAAUGCAAAUAAGCUGCACCCUUAAAACUACGGAGCUGACAUACAUCUUCUCACGCUCUGAAUUAAUGUGCGCUAAUUGAAAUGAAAGUGAGCCUGAAAUGUUUAGGUAAGUAGAUCCCUGCUUCUUCUGCUCCUCUCUACAGGUACUGUUGUAUUAACUGCCUUGUAAAAUGACAGAAACCUAAAGUAGCAGAGCAUGGCAACUGACACAUGUGUUUCUUGAAGGAUAAUUAUGGAGGAUGGAAUUAAAGUGGAACCAGGAGAUAUCGUAACCACGUUCCUGAUUCAAACACAUAUCCCCAGCAGCCGGUUGAGCUGAGAUCAGCCAGCACAUCCGGCAUUGCCUGCGACAUUUGACUAUAUGUACAGGCCCUGACACACUGAUGCUUAAGGGUAACAGAACUGUCUCGGUUUACGGGACUCCUGGAGGUGACUACAGGAGGGGAAAAAAAGGCAAACAUCAAAUUAUCCUCAUGUGGUCUGUAAGUGAACCUGAUUUGGGGUUUUAGGCAAUUGUGUAAUUCAAUAUAGUUCAAAGAUUGAACUCUUCGUUGACAGUUACACAUUGAUCUAUAUGCAGUAGGACGGUUUGUUUAGGAUCUAUGUUAUGCUCUAUUGGUCCUUGUGUCAAUCUGUACCUUUUCUUCAGCAGCUGAUCACCUUCACGCCAAGAUAAUCUACUCACCAGGUCAUGAUAGUCUUAAUUAGAGGGCUAUUAUUAAAAAGAAUUUGUUUUUCUCAGAUUCCUCAGAAAUUGUAGUGUUAUUUAUGCCAACCAAUAAGUGUCCUAUAGCGUUUUUAAGAAGCUUUUCCAUCCACGUGGCCAUGUGGGUUUGAAGAGUGGAGACAAUGAUGGUCCAACAUGCAGGAAGCAUGCGGGUAGGUUCCCCACAGGGAGCUUGGUUGCAGAGAACAACUCAAAGUGACAGGUAAAGAGGCCAUGCUUGUUUACAUUGUGCUAUAUUCUGGUCAUACAAAUGAUUCUGGGCUGCUCACUUUCAAUCAAAACCUUUUUUUAUCACCCUUUUAACAUAGAUCUAGAAACUAAUGUACUACAGAAUGUCAAUCUACAUUUAACAACCUCUACAGUCAUCCAAGACCGAGGAUGCUGUACACAUUGCAAAGCCCCCUGAUGACACAUUUUGAUUUUACGCUAUAUAAAUACAACUUGAAUUAAAUUAGAAUUAAAAUAGUUUGUAAUCAGAUAUUUGAAAGCUUUUUUAGUUUUGAAGGUCUUACAAUCACCAGAUUUUCAUAUAUUGCGCAAUUCACUGAAAUAAUAAACGCUCAAAUAUCCCUCUUUUGAAUUGUAAAAAUGGAAUCAUAUUUAUUAUGUUAUUAAUUGCAGGAUUUUGCCACAAUCCUGAUUUUUAUUGUGACGAUACAAAUUAAUCCAAAGUCAAAUGUUGUAAAGUAAGGAUCUUUUUUUCUUCUAAAUACUAAAUUAUACACAGCCCAUCAUAACAAUAAGCAAAUGUGGUUCGCUGAAGGAAACCAAAAUAAAUGUUUCAAGCCAUGUAUGAAUUAGCAUUUAUAUGUAUUUGCACCGAGCGUCCCAGCAUGCAUAAGAUUGGUAAUAUAGUGAACGAGGGCCACAGUUUGGAUGUGAUUAGCAAGCAGCAUAAGUAAAAGCAUUCACAUAAACUGCUUUUCCUUUAAAGAAAUGCUGAUAAGAUUAUUCCCUCGGGUCCAAAAGCACAUGCAGACAUUUCUGUUCUGUUCUGCUCUUGAGCAAAGAAGCUAGCAGGAGGUCCGAAAAGUUACUUUAUCUUGUAAAGUCUCCAAAUGGGAAAUGACAGAUGAUAGUAAAGCUGUCACAGCUAAACUACACUUUAAAUUAAUGAUGGACUUGGUAGUUAAUGGUAAUUAAAAACGGUUGGCGUCCAUCAUCUUUUAGUAAAGUAAAAAUGUACGCAGCCUGCCGUCAUUCAAUAUUGUCUAUGCUAAUCUGCUAGCACCAUGAUUUGUGCCAGUCAGAUGUCUCCGGUUAUACGCCACUGCAAAUGAAAAUAAACAACACAAAUAAAAAAAAAUACAAUAUGAAUGAAAUAAAAAGUGAUUCAAAUGAAUCUUACAAACAUACCCCCCCCUCCACACACACACACACACACA
Molecule: non-coding RNA, 2631 nt
Organism: Gasterosteus aculeatus aculeatus (three-spined stickleback)
Lineage: Eukaryota; Metazoa; Chordata; Actinopteri; Perciformes; Gasterosteidae
Source: RefSeq, a predicted model, not a curated record